AACCUAGUUCCUUAGUCAUUCGAGAUCAGGACUGGAGAAAGCUUCAAAAUGGCUAGUUUGCGACAUGUUGUGUGGUUACCUUGGUGUUUUCUCAUGUUCCUGUCAUUCGGAUCAUCCAGUGAUCUCUACAGAUGUCCAAAGAUUAGCGGGGGAAUAAUGAGGGAUUUCAGUGGGAAGUGCUACCGAUUUGUUCCCACUGACAAAACGUGGAAUGAAGCACAGUUCGAUUGUCACAGGCGGGGAGGUAAUCUUGUUCACAUCAAGAAUCGAUCAACACAGAACUUCAUCUACAACACUGUCAAACACGAUCUCGGUUGGAAGGUGAACGGGAUGUGGAUUGGUGCGCAUGACAGGACGGAGUCAAAUAAUUAUGAGUGGGUUAAUGGUGAUCGACAAACCCGAGGGACACCUGUGACUUGGAGCUUUUGGGCUUCCGGUCAGCCGUCUUGUAGUUUUUGGGGUUGUUUUGAACUUUGUGGUCAAAUGCGAUUAGACGAUGGUGGACGUUGGCAUGAUUAUCGGUGUGGACCAGGUUUCAGUACUUACCACUACUGCUGUAUGU
Molecule: long non-coding RNA, 562 nt
Organism: Liolophura sinensis
Lineage: Eukaryota; Metazoa; Mollusca; Polyplacophora; Chitonida; Chitonidae
Exons: 3
Source: RefSeq, a predicted model, not a curated record